CAGCCGCCGCGGUAAAACGUAGGGUGCAAGCGUUAAUCGGAAUUACUGGGCGUAAAGCGCGCGCAGGCGGUUUGUUAAGACAGAUGUGAAAUCCCCGGGCUCAACCUGGGAAUGGCAAUGGAUACUGGCGAGCUAGAGUGUGUCAGAGGAUGGUGGAAUUCCCGGUGUAGCGGUGAAAUGCGUAGAUAUUGGGAAGAACACCGGUGGCGAAGGCGGCGACCUGGUCCUUUACUGACGCUGAGGCGCGAAAGCGUGGGGAGCAAACAGGAUUAGAUACCCCCGUAGUCCCUGUCUCUUAUCA
Molecule: ribosomal RNA, 301 nt
Filed under: uncultured bacterium
Lineage: Bacteria
Description: partial 16S ribosomal RNA
Rfam family: Bacterial small subunit ribosomal RNA
Source: RNAcentral